GUUAUGGAGAAGAUAAAUGAUUCAGAGCACUGUUCAACUCCAUCGUGGAUUGAAUUCCAAGAGAUCCAUUUGAUUUAGUGUCCUUCCAGAAAGAAUUCUGUUCAGAACUGGGGUCAGCCUGAGGAGCACCACUGUUUAACAUAUAUUUUUAAAAUAUAUUAAAAAUAUUAGAUAAUCAACUUAAUAAAUUAUAUAUUUCUUAAACUUCUAGGAUAGUUAUUGUGAAUAUUUUAUUGUUAAUGCAAUAUUUCAAAUUUAUUAAAUUUUUAUAAGAAAAGGCGAAAUUAUAAAAAUAUGGAGAGAUUUUUUUAUUUAUUUGUGAACCCUACAAUUACAAGAAACAGGGAUUUUAAAUUUAUUAAAAUUAAAAUUGAAAAAAUUUUAAUUUAGAAAAAAUUAAAAUUUAAUGACGACAAUUAAAAAAAUCUAAAGUUAAAAGUAAUUAAGUGAAAAAUUAACUCAUGUUAACUUAUUAUACAGUAACUUUAAUGAUAUACAAAUUAAAAUUGAAUAAAUUUUAAGAAAAAAAAAAUUAAAAUUAAGCAACUUUCAUGAAAUAACUCAAUUUUCACCUGAAUGAGUAAUCAAUUCAAAUCUCUAGUUUCCUGGCUACCAUAUCAAACUCACCUGAGAAUCAUAGCGGGUAACAUAACAAGCAACAAGGAGAAGAAACUG
RNAcentral lists this unclassified non-coding RNA (675 nucleotides) under Hevea brasiliensis (rubber tree). Lineage: Eukaryota; Viridiplantae; Streptophyta; Magnoliopsida; Malpighiales; Euphorbiaceae. The record is from RNAcentral.